UGUCUCACAGGUGAUUCUGAAGCAGGUGGUCCAGGGAUACCUUGGAAAACCCUAGCCCUAGCCACUGUACCUGAAACUAGAUUUGGUACCUAUGAUAGAAGAUUAUGAAUGAAUUCUCAAGAAGAAAUGACAGAUCACCUUCAUUGUAUGGCAAAUGGAGAUGAGCUGAAAAGUGGAACUAAAUUCAACUGUGAUUUAGAAGAAAUUUGGGAACUUUUUUGA
Pan paniscus (pygmy chimpanzee) is the source of this 222-nucleotide long non-coding RNA. The record is from Ensembl. Lineage: Eukaryota; Metazoa; Chordata; Mammalia; Primates; Hominidae.